GGCAAGAUGGCCGAGUUGGUUAUGGCGUGAGGUUCAGGUCACCUUAGAAGAGAUUCCUCAUGGAGCAAUCCGCGUGGGUUCAAAUCCCACUCUUGUCA
This is a non-coding RNA of Nemania sp. FL0031, 98 nucleotides long. The record is from the annotation of a GenBank genome assembly. NCBI's taxonomy places the organism in Eukaryota, Fungi, Ascomycota, Sordariomycetes, Xylariales, Xylariaceae.